This 1203-nucleotide ribosomal RNA is filed under the name uncultured bacterium. RNAcentral describes it as "bacterial SSU rRNA". It matches the Rfam family "Bacterial small subunit ribosomal RNA", at positions 73 to 1290 of the family's 1533-position model. The record is from RNAcentral.
GCCCAGCUUGCUGGGUGGAUCAGUGGCGAACGGGUGAGUAACACGUGAGCAACCUGCCCUCCACUUCGGGAUAAGCCUUGGAAACGGGGUCUAAUACCGGAUAUGAGCUCGCAUCGCAUGGUGUGGGUUGGAAAGUUUUUCGGUGGGGGAUGGGCUCGCGGCCUAUCAGCUUGUUGGUGGGGUGAUGGCCUACCAAGGCGUCGACGGGUAGCCGGCCUGAGAGGGCGACCGGCCACACUGGGACUGAGACACGGCCCAGACUCCUACGGGAGGCAGCAGUGGGGAAUAUUGCACAAUGGGCGCAAGCCUGAUGCAGCGACGCCGCGUGAGGGAUGACGGCCUUCGGGUUGUAAACCUCUUUCAGCAGGGAAGAAGCGCAAGUGACGGUACCUGCAGAAGAAGCGCCGGCUAACUACGUGCCAGCAGCCGCGGUAAUACGUAGGGCGCAAGCGUUGUCCGGAAUUAUUGGGCGUAAAGAGCUCGUAGGCGGUCUGUCGCGUCUGGUGUGAAAUCCCGAGGCUCAACCUCGGGCUUGCAUCGGGUACGGGCAGACUAGAGUGCGGUAGGGGAGACUGGAAUUCCUGGUGUAGCGGUGGAAUGCGCAGAUAUCAGGAGGAACACCGAUGGCGAAGGCAGGUCUCUGGGCCGCAACUGACGCUGAGGAGCGAAAGCAUGGGGAGCGAACAGGAUUAGAUACCCUGGUAGUCCAUGCCGUAAACGUUGGGCACUAGGUGUGGGGCUCAUUCCACGAGUUCCGUGCCGCAGCUAACGCAUUAAGUGCCCCGCCUGGGGAGUACGGCCGCAAGGCUAAAACUCAAAGGAAUUGACGGGGGCCCGCACAAGCGGCGGAGCAUGCGGAUUAAUUCGAUGCAACGCGAAGAACCUUACCAAGGCUUGACAUGUACGAGAAAGCCCCCGAGACGGGGUUCUCUUUGGACACUCGUACACAGGUGGUGCAUGGUUGUCGUCAGCUCGUGUCGUGAGAUGUUGGGUUAAGUCCCGCAACGAGCGCAACCCUCGUCCUAUGUUGCCAGCGGGUUAUGCCGGGGACUCAUGGGAGACUGCCGGGGUCAACUCGGAGGAAGGUGGGGAUGACGUCAAAUCAUCAUGCCCCUUAUGUCUUGGGCUUCACGCAUGCUACAAUGGCCGGUACAGAGGGCUGCGAUACCGUAAGGUGGAGCGAAUCCCAAAAAGCCGGUCUCA